GAACGGGUGAGUAACACGUGGGUAACCUGCCCAUCAGAGGGGGAUAACACUUGGAAACAGGUGCUAAUACCGCAUAACGCUUUUUCUCGCAUGAGAGAAAGCUGAAAGGCGCUUUUGCGUCACUGAUGGAUGGACCCGCGGUGCAUUAGCUAGUUGGUGAGGUAACGGCUCACCAAGGCAACGAUGCAUAGCCGACCUGAGAGGGUGAUCGGCCACACUGGGACUGAGACACGGCCCAGACUCCUACGGGAGGCAGCAGUAGGGAAUCUUCGGCAAUGGACGAAAGUCUGACCGAGCAACGCCGCGUGAGUGAAGAAGGUUUUCGGAUCGUAAAACUCUGUUGUUAGAGAAGAACAAGGAUGAGAAGAGAAUGUUCAUCCCUUGACGGUAUCUAACCAGAAAACCACGGCUAACUACGUGCCAGCAGCCGCGGUAAUACGUAGGUGGCAAGCGUUGUCCGGAUUUAUUGGGCGUAAAGCGAGCGCAGGCGGUUUCUUAAGUCUGAUGUGAAAGCCCCCGGCUCAACCGGGGAGGGUCAUUGGAAACUGGGAGACUUGAGUGCAGAAGAGGAGAGUGGAAUUCCAUGUGUAGCGGUGAAAUGCGUAGAUAUAUGGAGGAACACCAGUGGCGAAGGCGGCUCUCUGGUCUGUAACUGACGCUGAGGCUCGAAAGCGUGGGGAGCGAACAGGAUUAGAUACCCUGGUAGUCCACGCCGUAAACGAUGAGUGCUAAGUGUUGGAGGGUUUCCGCCCUUCAGUGCUGCAG
RNAcentral lists this ribosomal RNA (765 nucleotides) under uncultured Enterococcus sp. RNAcentral describes it as "bacterial SSU rRNA". It matches the Rfam family "Bacterial small subunit ribosomal RNA", at positions 100 to 851 of the family's 1533-position model. Lineage: Bacteria; Bacillati; Bacillota; Bacilli; Lactobacillales; Enterococcaceae. The record is from RNAcentral.